This 95-nucleotide small RNA is filed under the name Arabidopsis thaliana (thale cress). RNAcentral describes it as "ATSL046250". Lineage: Eukaryota; Viridiplantae; Streptophyta; Magnoliopsida; Brassicales; Brassicaceae. The record is from RNAcentral.
UAAAAUGAAGUGUGUAGAAUUUAGAUCAAGUUUAUUAUGAUGACAUAGAUAGUUAAACUGUAUUACAAAAUUGAAUGUGUAAGAUAAUAAUWUGW